UACGUAGGGUGCGAGCGUUAAUCGGAAUUACUGGGCGUAAAGCGUGCGCAGGCGGUUUUGUAAGCCAGAUGUGAAAUCCCCGGGCUCAACCUGGGAAUGGCAUUUGGGACUGCAAGGCUUGAGUGCGGCAGAGGAGACUGGAAUUCCUGGUGUAGCAGUGAAAUGCGUAGAUAUCAGGAGGAACACCGGUGGCGAAGGCGGGUCUCUGGGCAGUAACUGACGCUGAGGAGCGAAAGCGUGGGUAGCAAACAGG
RNAcentral lists this ribosomal RNA (253 nucleotides) under uncultured bacterium. RNAcentral describes it as "partial 16S ribosomal RNA". It matches the Rfam family "Bacterial small subunit ribosomal RNA", at positions 524 to 776 of the family's 1533-position model. The record is from RNAcentral.